UGUGAGCUCGAUGAGUAGGGCGGGACACGUGGUAUCCUGUCUGAAUAUGGGGGGACCAUCCUCCAAGGCUAAAUACUCCUGACUGACCGAUAGUGAACCAGUACCGUGAGGGAAAGGCGAAAAGAACCCCGGCGAGGGGAGUGAAAAAGAACCUGAAACCGUGUACGUACAAGCAGUGGGAGCACGCUUAGGCGUGUGACUGCGUACCUUUUGUAUAAUGGGUCAGCGACUUAUAUUCUGUAGCAAGGUUAACCGAAUAGGGGAGCCGAAGGGAAACCGAGUCUUAACUGGGCGUUAAGUUGCAGGGUAUAGACCCGAAACCCGGUGAUCUAGCCAUGGGCAGGUUGAAGGUUGGGUAACACUAACUGGAGGACCGAACCGACUAAUGUUGAAAAAUUAGCGGAUGACUUGUGGCUGGGGGUGAAAGGCCAAUCAAACCGGGAGAUAGCUGGUUCUCCCCGAAAGCUAUUUAGGUAGCGCCUCGUGAAUUCAUCUCCGGGGGUAGAGCACUGUUUCGGCAAGGGGGUCAUCCCGACUUACCAACCCGAUGCAAACUGCGAAUACCGGAGAAUGUUAUCACGGGAGACACACGGCGGGUGCUAACGUCCGUCGUGAAGAGGGAAACAACCCAGACCGCCAGCUAAGGUCCCAAAGUCAUGGUUAAGUGGGAAACGAUGUGGGAAGGCCCAGACAGCCAGGAUGUUGGCUUAGAAGCAGCCAUCAUUUAAAGAAAGCGUAAUAGCUCACUGGUCGAGUCGGCCUGCGCGGAAGAUGUAACGGGGCUAAACCAUGCACCGAAGCUGCGGCAGCGACGCUGAUGCGUUGUUGGGUAGGGGAGCGUUCUGUAAGCCUGCGAAGGUGUGCUGUGAGGCAUGCUGGAGGUAUCAGAAGUGCGAAUGCUGACAUAAGUAACGAUAAAGCGGGUGAAAAGCCCGCUCGCCGGAAGACCAAGGGUUCCUGUCCAACGUUAAUCGGGGCAGGGUGAGUCGACCCCUAAGGCGAGGCCGAAAGGCGUAGUCGAUGGGAAACAGGUUAAUAUUCCUGUACUUGGUGUUACUGCGAAGGGGGGACGGAGAAGGCUAUGUUGGCCGGGCGACGGUUGUCCCGGUUUAAGCGUGUAGGCUGGUUUUCCAGGCAAAUCCGGAAAAUCAAGGCUGAGGCGUGAUGACGAGGCACUACGGUGCUGAAGCAACAAAUGCCCUGCUUCCAGGAAAAGCCUCUAAGCAUCAGGUAACAUCAAAUCGUACCCCAAACCGACACAGGUGGUCAGGUAGAGAAUACCAAGGCGCUUGAGAGAACUCGGGUGAAGGAACUAGGCAAAAUGGUGCCGUAACUUCGGGAGAAGGCACGCUGAUAUGUAGGUGAAGUCCCUUGCGGAUGGAGCUGAAAUCAGUCGAAGAUACCAGCUGGCUGCAACUGUUUAUUAAAAACACAGCACUGUGCAAACACGAAAGUGGACGUAUACGGUGUGACGCCUGCCCGGUGCCGGAAGGUUAAUUGAUGGGGUCAGCGCAAGCGAAGCUCUUGAUCGAAGCCCCGGUAAACGGCGGCCGUAACUAUAACGGUCCUAAGGUAGCGAAAUUCCUUGUCGGGUAAGUUCCGACCUGCACGAAUGGCGUAAUGAUGGCCAGGCUGUCUCCACCCGAGACUCAGUGAAAUUGAACUCGCUGUGAAGAUGCAGUGUACCCGCGGCAAGACGGAAAGACCCCGUGAACCUUUACUAUAGCUUGACACUGAACAUUGAGCCUUGAUGUGUAGGAUAGGUGGGAGGCUU
RNAcentral lists this ribosomal RNA (1774 nucleotides) under Escherichia coli. RNAcentral's name for it is "partial 23S ribosomal RNA". It matches the Rfam family "Bacterial large subunit ribosomal RNA", at positions 398 to 2157 of the family's 2925-position model. The record is from RNAcentral. Lineage: Bacteria; Pseudomonadati; Pseudomonadota; Gammaproteobacteria; Enterobacterales; Enterobacteriaceae.